RNAcentral lists this transfer RNA (69 nucleotides) under Coturnicops exquisitus. Its description in RNAcentral is "tRNA-Lys". The record is from RNAcentral. Lineage: Eukaryota; Metazoa; Chordata; Aves; Gruiformes; Rallidae.
CAUUAAGAAGCUAUGCAACAGCACUAGCCUUUUAAGCUAGAGAAAGAGAUCCACCAACAUCUCCUUAAU